This 253-nucleotide ribosomal RNA is filed under the name uncultured bacterium. Its description in RNAcentral is "partial 16S ribosomal RNA". It matches the Rfam family "Bacterial small subunit ribosomal RNA", at positions 524 to 776 of the family's 1533-position model. The record is from RNAcentral.
UACGUAGGGAGCAAGCGUUGUCCGGAAUCAUUGGGCGUAAAGCGCGCGUAGGUGGCUUCAUAAGUCCGUUGUGAAAGUCAAAGGCUCAACCUUUGAAAGCCGAUGGAUACUGUGAAGCUAGAGUACGGAAGAGGCGAGUGGAAUUCCUGGUGUAGCGGUGGAAUGCGCAGAUAUCAGGAGGAACACCGAUUGCGAAGGCAGCUCGCUGGAACGUUACUGACGCUGAGACGCGAAAGCGUGGGGAGCAAACAGG